UGAAACUUUGGUCUUUUGCUCCUAGAUUAAUAUCACCUGAAGUACUUUAACAACAGCAACAUGAGCACCUGCAAGGACAACACAGAAUUAAUGUGACAAGACUAUUAGCUUAAGAGGCAUUCUUUUUAUCUGAUUCAGGAUCAGCAUAUCCAAAAAUGAACUGAGCUUCUGUAGAAACAGUCGUUGCAUAUUUGAUACAUCAGCUGAUGAAUAUGAAGGCCAACUGGAAAACUCAGCAAAAUACUGUCUGCAGGAGCGUGCCGAUUGUUCCACAGCUGGGCAGCAGUACUUCAUCAGCACACAGGAAUUAAAAUCAAAAAACAAACAGAGACCAAGCAAUCAGAAGAACCCUACUCUCAGGUAAGUAUUAGCCAGUUCAUUUUGGGAAACAUGAGUUUUACCUAAAUUCACGUAGAUGAACAGUAAGUUCUCCUUUUUUAUUUCAUAAUAUGACUGUAAGUGUAUCAAUA
This 470-nucleotide long non-coding RNA is filed under the name Anser brachyrhynchus (Pink-footed goose). RNAcentral's name for it is "lncRNA (ENSABRG00000016004.1)". Lineage: Eukaryota; Metazoa; Chordata; Aves; Anseriformes; Anatidae. The record is from RNAcentral.